RNAcentral lists this non-coding RNA (87 nucleotides) under Pseudomonas sp. NFACC46-3. Lineage: Bacteria; Pseudomonadati; Pseudomonadota; Gammaproteobacteria; Pseudomonadales; Pseudomonadaceae. RNAcentral also lists the same sequence under 7 other names. The record is from RNAcentral.
UGUUAUGGCGGCCGUGCGCGGGCAUGCUUCGGCAUGGCCGGGCUUCUAGGGACUCGGAUUCUCACCCCGCGUACGGCUGCCACCCUC